Molecule: small RNA, 64 nt
Organism: Rivularia sp. PCC 7116
Lineage: Bacteria; Bacillati; Cyanobacteriota; Cyanophyceae; Nostocales; Rivulariaceae
Rfam family: Nitrogen stress-induced RNA 1
Source: Rfam
UGGUAGAUGCACCCUGAUAACUAACUCCCCCGGUAAGCCUACAAGCACGCUGGGGGUUUUUGUA